UUGCUUCUUUGUGAGGGAACCAAUCAACUAACUGAAUGAAAUAAUUUCAGCAUUCCAUUUCUUUAGGACAAUUGCAGCAAGGAAGUCUAAAAUUGAUGCACCGGAGCAGCGUGAUGCCCUUAUUAAUCUUGAUGUACCUAUCCCUUUAUUUAGGACAAUUACAGCAAGGAAGUAGGAGGAAGAAGAAAUGCAGGCGACCUCAUGAAAGCCAACAACAAAGAUCCACAUGUGAGCAAUCUUGGUUCCUCUGCUUCUGCACUACAUAUAUAUUUAUUUUCUAGAUAUCUUUUCUUUUUUGCAAUUUCUGUUGUUUUGCUUACUACAAGUAACAUGGAGAUGUCAUAUGAUAUUGUUCAGUUUGCGAAAUGUAGAAGUGAGAGGAGGAACCAUGAAUUUUUAACGAGCAUUAGUUUGUGGCUCACGGAUGAAGAUUGCAAGUACUACUUUGUAACAGUUCCAAAUAGCUGAUCGUGCUUUGAAAUUAAGCCUAUCGGAAGCAAAAAAUGAAAGUUAGGUCCCCUGUAACAUGGUGAGGGCACUCAAGUCCUGAGCUUGCUACGUAAAAUUAGUUGCCAUAUAUUUUGGAUUUUUUAAAAGUCUGGAGUAUACAUAUACUAUUUUCAAUAUCUGACUAUUUUUAUAUUUCUAAUGGAAAUUAAGGGAUGGCAUGGUUUGCAUACAUGAAUUAGGGUCAUUGCUCUGUUUUUGUGUCCUUUCUCCUUUUGGAGGCCUACUCCAGAUUCAAAUUUGAAUACUGCCCAUUCAUGCUUUUAGGAAGGGAAUGAAAUGCUAAGAUGAUUUAAGUAUUG
RNAcentral lists this long non-coding RNA (809 nucleotides) under Triticum aestivum (bread wheat). RNAcentral describes it as "long non-coding RNA (TAES_LNC025141)". Lineage: Eukaryota; Viridiplantae; Streptophyta; Magnoliopsida; Poales; Poaceae. The record is from RNAcentral.